GCUGAUAUGCUAUAGUAUGUGUUGUUUUCAGAGUUAAGAUGCGAGGAACUCGUCGAUCAGCUCGAUUGACUGGAGUCCCAUCAGAUAGUGAGGGAGUAGCUGCUCGUCCUCCUGCAUUGCCAAGGGCAAGGUCACAAAGAUCUAGCAGGGAAGGCAUGUCAAUAGACCCUAGAAGGUCUGUAGACGAGAGCAGAAGAGGG
This 200-nucleotide long non-coding RNA is filed under the name Manihot esculenta (cassava). RNAcentral's name for it is "long non-coding RNA (MESC_LNC011566)". Lineage: Eukaryota; Viridiplantae; Streptophyta; Magnoliopsida; Malpighiales; Euphorbiaceae. The record is from RNAcentral.